Colossoma macropomum (tambaqui) is the source of this 380-nucleotide long non-coding RNA. RefSeq lists it as uncharacterized. The transcript is spliced from 2 exons. Lineage: Eukaryota; Metazoa; Chordata; Actinopteri; Characiformes; Serrasalmidae. The record is from RefSeq and is a predicted model, not a curated record.
UCGGAUAACUUAUACCAACAGCCUGAUCGACCUGAAGUCGCCCGUGUUUUUAUUCAUUCUUUUAAAACUGCAGUAUUUCCACUUACCUGCUCCUCCUCCGCUGAUAAAGUGGCCGCCAUUCUUCACGUCUGUUCAAGCCGAACCUCAGUAGAUGUCUUCUUGUGCUCCAGGAUCUGCUGCAUUUGGUGGCUGGCAUAAUCAGGCUUGGUGGUGAGAGGGGACUGCGGCACCUCAAUGCCUAGGAUGUCUGCCACCAUGUAGGGUCUGAGCCAGCCCACCAGAGGGGUGCUGCCAGGGGUGUAAUGAGUCUCACGGUGGUAGAAAAGGAGACCAUCCACCUGGAGAGGAACAAUGAAUGAAUGAAUAAAUGAAUGAAUGUG